UCGCCGCCACGCUGGUGACGAUGCUUGCGGAUAAGGCCGGCCCUGAAGCAGCGUCGAACAGAUCGCAUGCAGUCUGGCCGAUUUGCUCGAACAGGACGCUUGAGUUCGUGAGGAACGACCCU
This 122-nucleotide non-coding RNA is filed under the name Phaeocystis antarctica. Lineage: Eukaryota; Haptophyta; Phaeocystales; Phaeocystaceae. The record is from RNAcentral.